AACUUCUCUUUAGUUUUGAUAGUUUUCUUUUUGGCUGGUGCCGGCGUUAAUCCAACGUCGGUACCGUGCUAUAUAUGUUUUCCGGAUCGUUGUAUAGUAUUGUUUGGUUUUAAGUUUCCGGUUUUUCCGGAUCUUUUGUUUCCAUUAAUCGGAUAGUAAUCUCCGGCGUAAACCGGUAAUAAAUUCCGACUUGUUCGAAUUUAUUUUUUAGUUUCCUCCUUUUGCUU
RNAcentral lists this long non-coding RNA (227 nucleotides) under Eutrema salsugineum. RNAcentral's name for it is "long non-coding RNA (ESAL_LNC001427)". The record is from RNAcentral. Lineage: Eukaryota; Viridiplantae; Streptophyta; Magnoliopsida; Brassicales; Brassicaceae.